ACACUUCCCCCCGCAGCUUGUUUAGCUUAAUUAGCAGUAGCACAAAGCAGCAAUAUAAUGGCGACGGCGGCGAGGCUGCUCCUCCUCCUCUUCCUCACGGCGGCAGCCAGCGCGUGGGAGAUGAACAUCCGGUUGCCGACGGAGAUGCUGAACGGCGGCGAGGCCGUGGUGGCGCCGAUCAUCCACGCGCUGCGGCCGCUGCUGGGCUCCGGCGGGCAGCUGGCGGCGCGCGCCGGCGUGGCGUGCGACAGCUGGAGGCUAGGCGUGGAGGCACACAACGUGAUCGGGUGGAAGACGGUGCCGGCCAGGUGCGAGGGCUACGUCGGCCACUACAUGCUCGGGUGGCCACUACCGCCGUGACUCCGCCGUCGUCAUCGACGAGGCCAUCGCCUACGCCGAGAGCCUCCAGCUCUCCGGCAACGGCAAGGAGAUCUGGGUGUUCGACAUCGACGAGACCUCCCUCUCCAACCUCCCCUACUACGCCAAGCACGGAUUCGGAGCUACACUGUACAAUGAUACGAGCUUCCGCGAAUACGUGGCGGAAGGGAGCGCGCCGGCGCUGCCGGAGACGAGGCGGUUGUACCGGCGGCUGCUCCAGCUCGGCGUCAAGCCGGUGUUCCUGACGGGCCGCACCGAGGACCAAAGGAACAUCACCGUCACAAACCUCCGCCGGCAGGGAUACUCCGGGUGGAUGGAGUUGUUGCUCAAGCCAGCAGUGCACGCCGCCGGCGAGCUCCAGGGGUCCGCCGUUGCAUACAAGUCCGGCGAGCGGCAAAAGCUGGAGGAUGCCGGUUUCACCAUCCUCGGUAACAUUGGUGACCAAUGGAGUGACAUCCUCGGUACACCGGAGGGCGCCCGCACCUUCAAGCUGCCGGACCCCAUGUACUACAUCGGCUAGGUUGCUGAGUAACAAGUCCAAUGAGGCCCAGACUCCGUGUCACGUGCGUUUCAUCUUUGUUUUGUCUUGAAAUGCUUCUAAGUUACAAUAAUUUUCGACGCGCGUCUAUCUGUACUUUUCCUUGUGAGAUUGAUGAGAUUUGUAAUAGCAUGUACGUGUAAGAGCGGUAAAUCUAUCUAGCUAUGUACUAUUGAGCAAGCUUGUCGCGUGCGUAUCUUUGUCUAAUAAUUAAGAAAAAUUGCAAGAUAUCUCACCAAAUAUCAUCCUUAGUUUAAGAUUU
Non-coding RNA from Oryza sativa Japonica Group (Japanese rice), 1178 nucleotides. Lineage: Eukaryota; Viridiplantae; Streptophyta; Magnoliopsida; Poales; Poaceae. The record is from RefSeq and is a predicted model, not a curated record.